Molecule: ribosomal RNA, 253 nt
Filed under: uncultured bacterium
Lineage: Bacteria
Description: partial 16S ribosomal RNA
Rfam family: Bacterial small subunit ribosomal RNA
Source: RNAcentral
UACAGAGGUGCCAAGCGUUGUUCGGAUUUAUUGGGCGUAAAGGGUGCGUAGGUGGUGAUGCAAGUCGGGUGUGAAAUACCGGAGCCUAACUCCGGAACUGCAUUCGAAACUGCAUCGCUCGAGGUCUGGAGAGGUGACUGGAAUUCUCGGUGUAGCAGUGAAAUGCGUAGAUAUCGAGAGGAACACCAGAGGCGAAGGCGAGUCACUGGACAGAACCUGACACUGAGGCACGAAAGCUAGGGGAGCAAACGGG